GGAGCGGAAGAGCCGAACGACAUUUCGGGUAGUUUCGAAGGGGGGCUUUAAAGGUCCCUAAGAAGACGGACAGGAUGGGGGACGAGAGGCCACAGGAAACUAACUCAGAGGGAUGCAAAAAAUAAUGACAGAGAAGAAGUCCCUAGGCGGUGGGAAGAAGGUUGAAGGUGCUGGAACUAACCUAUAUCGCUCUGAGGGACCAGAGGGACGAAGACAAGGACGAUUUGGAAGACACCUACGGCUCGAGAAGAUGCCCACUGAAACAGGGCUCUCGAAGAGAAGGCAGACACUGAUAGAAACUCUGGAACAGAAUAGGGCACCUAAAGGUGGGAGGACGGAUUUAAAUAGACCCUGGGAUCCGGCGCCAUAAUGAUCACGAAUCCCCCCAAGCCAAUCCACACCCGGCACGUGUCCCACUCCCCCCGAUGGGCGGCUAAAAGCGGCUGAUGGAUCAGCAGGGCCAUUAUGGCACCGUACCUGAGCCAAUGUACCGGCGAGAAUUUUGAAGGGUCCCUUCGUAUCGCCCCGAUCCGAAAAGACUCUAGCACGUGCACAUUUAAUGCCAAAAUAUCUGGGGGCGGC
This 582-nucleotide long non-coding RNA is filed under the name Elaeis guineensis (African oil palm). RNAcentral's name for it is "long non-coding RNA (EGUI_LNC080988)". The record is from RNAcentral. Lineage: Eukaryota; Viridiplantae; Streptophyta; Magnoliopsida; Arecales; Arecaceae.